This 696-nucleotide ribosomal RNA is filed under the name Triticum aestivum (bread wheat). Its description in RNAcentral is "partial small subunit ribosomal RNA". The record is from RNAcentral. Lineage: Eukaryota; Viridiplantae; Streptophyta; Magnoliopsida; Poales; Poaceae.
AUGGGGUGGGGCAGAUCGUCCGGCUCCAGGAAGGGCAAGAGAGGCGGCAGCAGCAGCGGCGGCAGUGGCGCCGACAAGCCGAAGCAGCCGCAGCGGGGGCUCGGCGUGGCGCAGCUCGAGAAGAUUAGGUUACAGAGCGAAAUGGCUGAGUACUUCCAUCCUCUUGGUGGUCAGCCACCCAGCUUGAUCCACAGAACGGCCAGCCUCAAUUUGGUGAGUGAAGACACAUCUUGCAAAGCUGAAGUGAACAUAUGUGUAUAUGCGUAUUUUGUGUGUAUGGAUUUGCUUGCGAUUUUCGUAAGAUUGGGCGUUUCUGAUUCCUUGCGUCUUUGGAAUGGAUCUAUCGAGCAGGAGGAUACGCGGGCGUCAACGUCCUCGCUCUCAUCGUCCCCAUCGUCCCCCUUCCAUGCUACCGCCGUCUCGUCGGCCUUCCCGGUCCAUCCGAAUUUUGGGAUGGCAUAUGGGGAGAGAGGAGACGCUCGAUAUGGUGAAUUCCAGACUCCCAUCGUAAGAUCACCAAGCAGCAGCACUAUCUACGGGCCACCACAUUACGCACAUCCUGGUGUCACAUUGCCACUGUUUGCACCAGAGGAAUCUACCCGUCUGAGAAGGCACCAUGACCGGAGCCGGUCAGCUGAUUCGACGAGUAUGAAUUCCGAUGAUCCAGAAGACGUGGAUCUCGAGCUCAAGCUAUGA